This 497-nucleotide ribosomal RNA is filed under the name uncultured bacterium. RNAcentral's name for it is "partial 16S ribosomal RNA". It matches the Rfam family "Bacterial small subunit ribosomal RNA", at positions 28 to 507 of the family's 1533-position model. The record is from RNAcentral.
GAUGAACGCUGGCGGCGUGCCUAAUACAUGCAAGUCGAGCGAACGGACGAGAAGCUUGCUUCUCUGAUGUUAGCGGCGGACGGGUGAGUAACACGUGGAUAACCUACCUAUAAGACUGGGAUAACUUCGGGAAACCGGAGCUAAUACCGGAUAAUAUUUUGAACCGCAUGGUUCAAAAGUGAAAGACGGUCUUGCUGUCACUUAUAGAUGGAUCCGCGCUGCAUUAGCUAGUUGGUAAGGUAACGGCUUACCAAGGCAACGAUGCAUAGACGACCGGAGAGAGUGAUAGGCCGCACGGGAACUGAGACACGGACAAGACUACUGAGGGAGGCAGCAGUAGGGAAUCUGACGCAAUGGGCGAAAGCAUGACGGAGCAGCGCCGCGUGAGUGGUGAAGAUCUUCGGAGCGUAAAACUCUGUUAUUAGGGGAGAACAUAUGUGUAAGUAACUGUGCACAUAUUGACGGUACCGGAUCAGAAAGCCACGGCUAACUACGUG